GAUGAACGCUGGCGGCGUGCCUAAUACAUGCAAGUCGAGCGAACAGACGAGGAGCUUGCUCCUUUGACGUUAGCGGCGGACGGGUGAGUAACACGUGGAUAACCUACCUAUAAGACUGGGAUAACUUCGGGAAACCGGAGCUAAUACCGGAUAACAUGUUGAACCGCAUGGUUCAACAGUGAAAGACGGUCUUGCUGUCACUUAUAGAUGGAUCCGCGCCGCAUUAGCUAGUUGGUAAGGUAACGGCUUACCAAGGCAACGAUGCGUAGCCGACCUGAGAGGGUGAUCGGCCACACUGGAACUGAGACACGGUCCGGACUCCUACGGGAGGCAGCAGUAGGGAAUCUUCCGCAAUGGGCGAAAGCCUGACGGAGCAACGCCGCGUGAGUGAAGAAGGUCUUCGGAUCGUAAAACUCUGUUAUUAGGGAAGAACAAAUGUGUAAGUAACUAUGCACGUCUUGACGGUACCUAAUCAGAAAGCCACGGCUAACUACGUG
Molecule: ribosomal RNA, 497 nt
Filed under: uncultured bacterium
Lineage: Bacteria
Description: partial 16S ribosomal RNA
Rfam family: Bacterial small subunit ribosomal RNA
Source: RNAcentral